GACGAACGCUGGCGGCGUGCCUAAUACAUGCAAGUAGAACGCUGAAGGAGGAGCUUGCUUCUCUGGAUGAGUUGCGAACGGGUGAGUAACGCGUAGGUAACCUGCCUGGUAGCGGGGGAUAACUAUUGGAAACGAUAGCUAAUACCGCAUAAUAGUAGAUGUUGCAUGACAUUUACUUAAAAGGUGCAAUUGCAUCACUACCAGAUGGACCUGCGUUGUAUUAGCUAGUUGGUGGGGUAACGGCUCACCAAGGCGACGAUACAUAGCCGACCUGAGAGGGUGAUCGGCCACACUGGGACUGAGACACGGCCCAGACUCCUACGGGAGGCAGCAGUAGGGAAUCUUCGGCAAUGGACGAAAGUCUGACCGAGCAACGCCGCGUGAGUGAAGAAGGUUUUCGGAUCGUAAAGCUCUGUUGUAAGAGAAGAACGAGUGUGAGAGUGGAAAGUUCACACUGUGACGGUAUCUUACCAGAAAGGGACGGCUAACUACGUGCCAGCAGCCGCGGUAAUACGUAGGUCCCGAGCGUUGUCCGGAUUUAUUGGGCGUAAAGCGAGCGCAGGCGGUUAGAUAAGUCUGAAGUUAAAGGCUGUGGCUUAACCAUAGUACGCUUUGGAAACUGUUUAACUUGAGUGCAAGAGGGGAGAGUGGAAUUCCAUGUGUAGCGGUGAAAUGCGUAGAUAUAUGGAGGAACACCGGUGGCGAAAGCGGCUCUCUGGCUUGUAACUGACGCUGAGGCUCGAAAGCGUGGGGAGCAAACAGG
This 763-nucleotide ribosomal RNA is filed under the name uncultured Streptococcus sp. Its description in RNAcentral is "bacterial SSU rRNA". It matches the Rfam family "Bacterial small subunit ribosomal RNA", at positions 28 to 776 of the family's 1533-position model. Lineage: Bacteria; Bacillati; Bacillota; Bacilli; Lactobacillales; Streptococcaceae. The record is from RNAcentral.